RNAcentral lists this ribosomal RNA (2960 nucleotides) under zeta proteobacterium SCGC AB-137-J06. RNAcentral describes it as "bacterial LSU rRNA". It matches the Rfam family "Bacterial large subunit ribosomal RNA". Lineage: Bacteria; Pseudomonadati; Pseudomonadota; Candidatius Mariprofundia. The record is from RNAcentral.
UUAAGUGAAUAAGGGUCCAUGGGGGAUGCCUUGGCGCUGAGCGGCGAUGAAGGACGUGACUACCUGCGAAAUUUUUCGGGGAGCCGGUAAGUAGGCUUUGAUCCGGAAGUGUCCGAAUGGGGAAACCCGGCUGACUUUGUCAGUCACUCCCACCUGAAUAUAUAGGGUGGGUAGAGCGAACGCGGGGAAUUGAAACAUCUUAGUACCCGCAGGAAAAGAAAUCAAAAGAGAUUCCCUGAGUAGCGGCGAGCGAAACGGGAAAAGGCCAAACCGGUAAGUUUACUUGCCGGGGUUGUAGGACUACAACGUGGUAUUGAUAAGAAAUAGCAGAACACUCUGGAAAGUGUGGCCAUAGUGGGUGAUAGCCCCGUAUGCGAAAUUUCGAAUCAGCCUAGUAGUAUCCUGAGUAGGACGGGACACGUGAAACCUUGUCUGAAUCUGGGGAGACCACUCUCCAAGCCUAAAUACGUCUCAGCGACCGAUAGUGAACCAGUACCGUGAGGGAAAGGUGAAAAGUACCCCGUUGAGGGGAGUGAAAUAGACCUGAAACCAUGGACCUACAAGCAGUAGGAGCACUAUGUAAAUCAAGUGUGACUGCGUACCUUUUGUAUAAUGGGCCAACGACUUAUGGCUCAGUGGCAAGGUUAAGUUUUUAAACGAAGCCGUAGCGAAAGCGAGUCUUAAUAGGGCGACCAUAGUCACUGGGCAUAGACCCGAAGCCAGGCGAGCUAUUUAUGAGCAGGUUGAAGGUGGGGUAAAACCUACUGGAGGACCGAACCCACAUUGGCUGAAGACAAUGGGGAUGACUUGUGAAUAGGGGUGAAAGGCCAAUCAAGCCUGGCAAUAGCUGGUUCUCUCCGAAAGCUAUUUAGGUAGCGCCUCAUGUAUCACCACCGGGGGUAGAGCACUGGAUGGGCUAGGGGGUCUCGCGACUUACCAAACCUAACCAAACUCCGAAUACCGGUGAGUGCAAUCAUGGGAGACAGACCUUGGAUGCUAACGUCCAUGGUCAAGAGGGAUACAACCCAGACCGUCAGCUAAGGUCCCCAAGUGUAUGUUAAGUGGUAAACGAAGUGGAAAGGCAAUAACAGCCAGGAGGUUAGCUUAGAAGCAGCUAUCCUUUAAAGAAAGCGUAAUAGCUCACUGGUCGAGUCGGUCUGCGCGGAAGAUAUAACGGGGCUAAACAUACCACCGAAGCUACGGGUGCGAUUUUCUUUUAGAUAAUCUGCACGGUAGGAGAGCGUUCUGUAAGCCUGCGAAGCGAUACUGUAAGGAGUCGUGGAGGUAUCAGAAGUGAGAAUGUUGGCAUAAGUAGCGAUAAAACGGGUGAAAAACCCGUUCACCGAAAGCCCAAGGUUUCCUGCACCAUGCUAAUCAGGGCAGGGUUAGUCGGCUCCUAAGGCGAGGCAGAAAUGCGUAGUCGAUGGGAAACAGGUUAAUAUUCCUGUACCGACUUUAGAUGCGAUGGGGGGACGGAGAAAGGUAGCUGAUCCAGGCGUUUGGUUGUCCUGGUACAAGCGUGUAGGCGUAGAGUUUUGGUAAAUCCGGACUCUUUUAACGCUGAGGCGUGAUGUGGUGUUCUUACUUCGGUUCGAACGAACUCAGUGAUCCUAUGCUUCCAAGAAAAUCCUCUAAGCUUCAGUCUAAAGUUGACCGUACCGUAAACCGACACAGGUAGGCGAGGCGAGAAGCCUAAGGUGCUUGAGAUAACUCUGGUUAAGGAACUCGGCAAAUUGGCCCCGUAACUUCGGGAGAAGGGGUGCCCAUUGUAUGUGAAGAGACUUGCUCUCGGAGCAGAAAUGGGUUGCAGUGACCAGGGGGUAGCGACUGUUUACUAAAAACAUAGCACUCUGCUAAGCCGUAAGGCGAUGUAUAGGGUGUGACGCCUGCCCGGUGCUGGAAGGUUAAGAGGAGUGGUUAGCCCUUGAGGCGAAGCUGUGAAUCGAAGCCCCAGUAAACGGCGGCCGUAACUAUAACGGUCCUAAGGUAGCGAAAUUCCUUGUCGGGUAAGUUCCGACCUGCACGAAUGGCGUAACGACUUCCCCACUGUCUCAACCAGAGACUCAGCGAAAUUGAACUUGCUGUGAAGAUGCAGCAUUCCCGCGGCUAGACGGAAAGACCCCGUGCACCUUUACUAUAGCUUGACAUUGGAUCUAGGUAUAUUUUGUGCAGAAUAGGUGGGAGGCUUUGAUCUAUAGACGCCAGUUUAUAGUGAGCCAACUUUGAGAUACCACCCUGAAUAUGCUUGGGUUCUAACCAAGGUCCGUAAUCCGGAUCUGGGACAUUGUCUGGUGGGUAGUUUGACUGGGGCGGUCGCCUCCUAAAGAGUAACGGAGGCGCGCGAAGUUACACUCAGGCUGGUCGGAAAUCAGCCAUUGAGCGCAAGAGUAUAAGUGUGACUGACUGCGAGACUGACAAGUCGAGCAGGGAAGAAAUUCGGUUCUAGUGAUCCGGCGGUAGCAAGUGGAAGUGCCGUCGCUCAACGGAUAAAAGGUACGCCGGGGAUAACAGGCUGAUCGCGCCCAAGAGUUCAUAUCGACGGCGCGGUUUGGCACCUCGAUGUCGGCUCAUCACAUCCUGGGGCUGGAGCAGGUCCCAAGGGUUCGGCUGUUCGCCGAUUAAAGUGGUACGUGAGCUGGGUUUAGAACGUCGUGAGACAGUUCGGUCCCUAUCUACCGUGGGCGUUGGAGAAUUGAGAGGAUCUGUCCUUAGUACGAGAGGACCGGGAUGGACAAACCUCUGGUGUUUCUGUUGUUCUGCCAAGAGCAUUGCAGGGUAGCUACGUUUGGAAUGGAUAACCGCUGAAGGCAUCUAAGCGGGAAGCCAGCCUCGAGAUUAAUUCUCCCGGAGCUUUAAGCUCCCUAAAGGGCCGUGGAAGACUACCACGUUGAUAGGCUGGGUGUGGAAGUGUAGCAAUACAUGGAGCUGACCAGUACUAAUUGCCCGUGAGGCUUAACCAU